This 275-nucleotide long non-coding RNA is filed under the name Mytilus galloprovincialis (Mediterranean mussel). Lineage: Eukaryota; Metazoa; Mollusca; Bivalvia; Mytilida; Mytilidae. The record is from RNAcentral.
UACUAGAACACACCCGCGAAAUCGCGGGCAUUCAGACCGUAGUUUAAAGUAUGUAAAGUGUUGUUGGAAGAAUUUUGUAAAAUAUUGAAUGACUGGAGAAUUUCAGCAAAUGUAUCAUAAGUCAUAGGUUAUUGGGGACAGGAAAAUGUUUUUUUUAUCCCUCCUUCUUCAUUUCCAAAAUUCCCAAUUUUUGGUUUUCUAUCAAUUUCAAUAUGAACAUACAUUUAGUAUGUUAUGAACAUUUAAGUAAGGAACCUGUAAUUCAGUGGUUGUCG